This 393-nucleotide ribosomal RNA is filed under the name uncultured bacterium. RNAcentral's name for it is "partial 16S ribosomal RNA". It matches the Rfam family "Bacterial small subunit ribosomal RNA", at positions 523 to 918 of the family's 1533-position model. The record is from RNAcentral.
AUACGGAGGAUCCGAGCGUUAUCCGGAUUUAUUGGGUUUAAAGGGUGCGCAGGCGGGAGAUUAAGUCGGCGGUGAAAUUUUGCCGCUCAACUGUAAAAGAGCCUUCGAUACUGGUUUCCUCGAGUGUGGCUGAAGAAGGCGGCAUUUGUGGUGUAGCGGUGAAAUGCUUAGAUAUCACGAGGAACUCCGAUUGCGCAGGCAGCUUACUAAACCACUACUGACGCUCAGGCACGAAGGCGUGGGGAUCAAACAGGAUUAGAUACCCUGGUAGUCCACGCAGUAAACGAUGAUUACUGGCUGUUUGCGAUACAAUGUAAGCGGCUGAGCGAAAGCGUUAAGUAAUCCACCUGGGGAGUACGUUCGCAAGAAUGAAACUCAAAGGAAUUGACGGGG